RNAcentral lists this ribosomal RNA (209 nucleotides) under uncultured bacterium. RNAcentral's name for it is "partial 16S ribosomal RNA". It matches the Rfam family "Bacterial small subunit ribosomal RNA", at positions 1294 to 1500 of the family's 1533-position model. The record is from RNAcentral.
CGGAUUGUAGUCUGCAACUCGACUACAUGAAGCUGGAAUCGCUAGUAAUCGCGAAUCAGCAUGUCGCGGUGAAUACGUUCCCGGGUCUUGUACACACCGCCCGUCACACCAUGGGAGUCGGGAAUGCCCGAAGCCGGUGACCCAACCUUAAGAGGAGGGNGCUGUCGAAGGUGGGACCGAUAACUGGGGUGAAGUCGUAACAAGGUAAC